Molecule: long non-coding RNA, 1609 nt
Organism: Ornithodoros turicata
Lineage: Eukaryota; Metazoa; Arthropoda; Arachnida; Ixodida; Argasidae
Exons: 3
Source: RefSeq, a predicted model, not a curated record
UCUAACGGACGUUUCUCGCCGCCGCGUGUAGUUCGCGCCAUUUCGAGCGUUCCAGCAGGUGGAAAGCGUUUUAGAGGCUUUGUAUUGUUGUUCGCACUUGAUGCUGUCGUUCUUGCAACCCGUCUGACAUUGCAACUGUCCGUAACUGGAAGCGUUUCUUCAAACCGCGAGCAGACCAGUCAGUCUCGUUUGAAAUGUCAGAGUGAAGACGCUGCCCUGGAUGUGAAGCCAAAUCGCUCUUCGCCUUCAGGAUUCUUGCCGUUUCAGUUGUUACAGCAAUACUGCCAAAAAUAAAGGCCUAAGCUUCCACAAAUUCCGUAAAGACAAGCGCCCCAGGAGCCUAUGGGUUGCGAAGAUAAACAGAGCGGGACAUAAAGGAAGCCUACCGAACAACACCGUGUAUGCGGUAAACACUUCAAGAAUGGAACAAAACCUUACAUGCACAACAUUCCUAGCAUUCUCCCUCACAAGCUACAAUCCAAACCCGUCAAGCCCCGUAGCUCACGACUGCAACCUGCAAAGGGCACCUCAGAACAGCUAAUGACUACAGAGCCUCUCGCCAGCAGUCCUGGACCCACAACAAAUGAGAAUUCGAGCUACACCACAACUUUUUGCUUCGCAGGGAUUUCUUCUGAGACUUGUGAAACUUCUGAAUGUAUAGACGUAUGCAUUGAGAAAGUAUUGUCACCACCCAUGCCCCUCUGCAAACUGAAGCAGCAACUCCAUUAGAGACAUCCAGUGAACCAUGCGUGGUCAAUAAUGACCACUCUUAUGUGGCACAAUACGAUGAAAAAGCAGCACUGACUCAGAAAAUUGCUGCUCUUGAAGUACUCAUCAAAGAGAAAUAUGAAAUAAUCGAAAACCUGAAAAAGAACUUGGUAUCAUCUGAAGCAAAAGCUGAAAGCCUAACAUCACAAGUGCAAGCAGCCUAUCAAAAGGUGAAAGAACUCUCCGUGAAAGUUAAGACCACCAAAAGUGACCUCACAUAUGACGCUCUACAAUGCAACAAAGAGAAACUGAAGUACUACACAGGAUUCUCAAGCCCUGCAUUGCUUCAGGUGUUUCAUGACUUCCUAAAGCCGGACUUUAACCACUUGCACUUCUUGCAAAUGAAGCCUGUUGAGGCCAAUGAACAACGACAGUUUUAUGCUCCGUUGAAAGACCAACUCAUAUUGGUGCUUGUCAGGCUACGCUUAGGGCUGGAUGGGACGGACCUGGCGUUCCGUUUUGGGAUAUCAAGCAGCACACUGUCAAGAAUCUGAAUAACCCGGAUAGGUUUUCUUCGAACCAGGUUGACACAGAUACCCGCAUGGCCCUCUUCCCAGCUAUGUGACAAGUACCGCCCUGAGGCCUUCAAAGAAAAGGGAUAUGAUACAAUUGACGGAAUACUUGAUUGCACAGAAAUUUUUAUUGAAACACCUUCGUCUUUUAGAGUGCAGAGCGAGACGUACUCCACCUACAAGAAGCACAACACUCUGAAGGGCCUUGUAGUGUGUGCACCAAAUGGUUUUGUGAUCUUUGUUUAAAACUUGGCACCUGGGCGUAUAUUGGCAUUUGUAACUCAUUGAAACUCAGAAAGAGUUAAUAAAAACCUGAAACCUGAAACCUA